UAAAAAGAGCUUAGAGCGCCACUUUUGGAAGGAUGGGAAAUUAGAGAUGACUGUGGAAGUUUUAAUACCGGUACGGAGCUGGUGGAGGAAGAAGGUCCUCCCGCUAUUGAGUCACUAUAUCGUUCAGGCGAGAGAAAGUGUACUGGGAACAAGCCUGAUGGGAGGAGAAUAUUUCAAGCAUAUGUCUUCAGAAAUGCAAGCUAUCAUAACCUUUAUCUAGAUACUACUUUUGCUAUUAAAAAUAAACUCCCCCCCCCCCAAACACUUCCUUUUUUAGAGAGGAGAAAGCAAUAUGAACAGAUUGAGUUCCUUAAAUGACUGGCUAUAUAUUGGAAAUAGUUAUUAAGCAUGAUAAUUUCCUUGUUAUAGAUUUACUAUAGAAAUAUAUUUUUGAGACUUUUGAUCACACUUUUCACAUUCAGUAUGAAGAUUUAAAUCUAUAAUCUGAUGUUAUCCCAUCCUGUUUCUGCCCUGAACUUAAGUGAUGCAUGGUUUGUCUGAACUGAUUAUGGCUGAACUGGGUAUCUCAUAGUCAAUUUCAACACUGCAUUGAAUGGGCAUCUAGAUUUCAUGCACUAUCUAAGUGAUUUUUCUAUUAGGAAACAUUCCUAUUGCUAUUGUAUAAAGAAAAAAAGAGUACAUUAUAUAAUAUUUCAUAAUAUAGUGCUUAGAAACUAGAUAGCUAAAUAAAGUAAUGGCACAAAUGAUAAGCAUACUAAAUAAACUGAGAAAGAUAAGGAAAUGCAUAAUGAUUGUGCAUGUUAUACCAUUGUUUAUGAAACAAACAAAAACAAAUAUGUCAGCAGAUGGCCAGCCCGGAUAAAUAAAUAAAAAAAGCUAGGGUUUAAGUUUGAGAAUGAACAAUAGCCUUAGAAGAAUGCAGAUUACCCCUUUUGACCAGACUUCCAUUCAGGAAAUCCAAGACAUAAUACUGUUGUCCUGUAUCCUGUCCUCUAUCUAAGGGCAUUGAUUCAGUUCCACUUAAUCGUGCUGGCCAGUCUUUCCUGUACAUGUUGUAGGUUCCAGACACCAAACAGUCACAAUAAGAAAAGUCUUUUAAUUAAGGACUCACUUACAUGGUUUGGAAAAAGAAAGAAAAACUCCAAGAUGCAUAUUUGGAAUAUGAGACAACAUGGAUAAUUUAUAAUGCUUCAUACCAAAAGAGACCAAUAUUUCAUCUACUGUCUAAACUGACAGUGGUUUUCCAGGUUCUCCAGUAGAGGCCCUUUUUAACAGCUUACGCGGAUUGAAUCUAAAAACUUUGACAUGCAAAACAUAUACUCUUGUCUGCUGAGCUAAAUCCAUAACCAUGUGUGGGAUUUUGCCUUCUCAUUUUACUUUAUCAAUAGUCAGUGUUAUUGACUAUUCCAAUUUUUUUUAAAAAAAACUUAAGGCAAAGUCAAACAUUCCUCUUCAAGAAGAUGAGACAACGCUUUUGUGGAGGUAAACAUAGUAACUCCUAUAUCUUUAUUUCAUUUAUUUUAAAUGUACUUACAACAUUCUUUUGUCCAGAAAGAUUGUAGUGUUGUUUGCAAAUAUCUAAUGGUUAUGCCAUCUAAUGAUUAUGCCACCAGGUCUGGAAUACAUGAUGGAGCCCGUGGGAUAAUUGGGGUGAUAGUUAUGAUUUUUUUUUACUUUGCUGCUAAUUUCUAUUUACAGUGCUAUUUAUUAUAAAAUGUUUUAAUUGCUUUUUCCUGCGCAGAAUCAAGAGGUUGAGAUGGGCACCCAUGUAAAUUGAAAUAAGUGAAUCAAUCCAAACACAUUUAAAUCCAUCUUUUUUUUUUUACAAAAAAAUCAUUUUUGGUGGUUAGUCAACAAGAACAUAUUAAUUAGCAUUGAAAGAGUACCUUUUCCCAGAGGGAGUGCGCUAUUGAACUUUUUUGCAAUUUUAUUUUUUAGGUAACACAAGGUGUGGUAUACCAAGCUUUCUCACAUCAGGGUCAGGAAGUAGAUGCCAAUGAGAUGCUCUGGAAAAUAAGUGGUAGUAACAGGAACUAGCAAACCACUACUCCAAAACAAGAAGCAGGCGGGCAUCAAUGUUGGCGUCUUUUGGUGGAAAUAAUACAUAAUCAUUUCAGAGAGGAAGAAAAGUGAUGGACCAUAUUCUCACCUCCAUUGUAGACUGCAGAGCAAGAUGACUGCUAUUUUUAUGUUUCCUAGCAGGAAGAAAGAGAGGAAAAAUGAUCAGAGACUGCUUUCCUGAGCUAAACAAAAUAACGCAUAAUGCUGUUUUAUAAAGAAUUGUGUUUCUGCAAAUGUUCAUAUCAGCAAAAAUGGUGCAUAUAUUUUCUGGGUACACAUUCUUCAAUAACCAGUGCAAUAUAUUUUUCCCCAAAGGUAUAAAAGCAAUAUUUGUUUUGCAUAAAUUACUGUACUAAUUUCUUCUACAAGCAAAUAACUUGCUUUUACCUUGAAGCAUGUUCCACUUUCACAUCCUAGUGUGCCUCUCUGUCUGAAGAAUAAACAAUCAAGUAAAAUUAGACUGAAAUCACAAAGAAAUCUCCCAUUUCAUUUAAUACAUGAAUUAAAUGCACUGAAGGGAAAUGCAGGUUGUAUUAACCUACAGUAUACAUGUGAUAUACACAUGUACCUUUAAUAUAACCUCUGUGUGAGGAACGUAUUAUUUUACCAGAAGCAAUGAAAUCCUAAGUGGAAUGUGAUGGUUAGACAGCAAUUUUAUAUUUACCAUUAUGUGUAUGUUAGGACUACUUGUGCUUUAAAAUCUUCCCUGAUGUGAGCCCUAGUGCUGUGUGACAAGAUCCCUUUUAUUGAAUAAGGUUUUUAAUUACAUUCAGAGUAUAAUACCCUCAUUGUGACAACUAGGAAUGAAAUCAGAUUCUUUGUUCAAUGUACUAACAACAGAAAAACAAAAUGUUACAUCCCAAGGAGACUCUUUGGCCUGGCUCAGAUUGAGGAAGACUACAAAAACAAGAAGAAAAAUUUUAAGUCUCAUUUUACAUAGGGAAUUUACAAGUUGUACAGGUACAAUGGCAGUCUAGAGAAAAUGGAAGUGCAUAGACUAAUCUUUUAUAUGCUGUAAUUGGUUCCUGUAUAAAAAUGAUCCUCACUUAUGUAAACUACAAGUGUUAAAAAGGAAAAAAAAAAACAAUAACUUCCCUGUUCUUAAUAGGAUGGGUUUUCUCUGUCUUUAUUUACUUAUAUCUACUGAAGGCAUUAAAGAUUCUUCUAGCUAAGAAUUGAAGCUCUCAAAAACCCCGACCAACAUGGCCAGUGAACUGGUAUGAUGGAGGUUGUGGAAUAAAAUGUUUUAUGCACCAGUUCCUGAAUCUGAUGUAAUUUCUUCUAGACAUCCUGCAUCACAACAAGUUCUCCCUUAGUCAUGAAAGCCAGCGGGGUGACUUUGGGACACUCAGUGUCUCUCAAGCCCCUCACAGGGUUGUUGUGAUAGGAGGAAGAAGGUAUGUUGGAUAGGAUCAUCAAUUUGAGUUAUUUGUAAAAAUAAAUACACAAUUCAGAACCAGCACCUUCAACUUUCCAGUGUACAUAGCAGUCAAGGAAUCCUACUAGGAAUUCUAACUUUAUGCCUACUAAGAAUUCUGACUUGCUAAUUCCAAACAAGCCAUGUUAUAGCCAGGUUCACACAACCUACAAAGAUAUAUUCCUUGUCAUACAGAGAGAACCCCAAACAGCCCAAGCCAUUUUAAUUGAGUCAGGCAUAUGAUACAAACCCAUCUAAUGUCUCUUUAUUUCUAGCCAGAGCUGAUAAUUAAUUUUUAUAUAAAAUUUGGCAUCAUCCCACUUUUCUAAUUCAUAUAUAUUACCCAGAGCCACUAACGGGCCUUAAAAUCAAUACAAGGUUUUAAAAGCUUAGAAAGCUUAGACAAAGCUAUUGCUAACUAUAAUAAAUUCCUGAUUUGGGGACAGGGAUUAAGAUAAUGAAUUGCUACAUAAUGGUUACUGCUUUUCACACUAAAUAAAUUAUUUACUGCUUUUCACACUAAAUAAAAUGCCUGUAUUAAUUUGUGCUAACCAAGCCCCAUUAACUGCAUAAUGAUCUAUGGUUAGAAUAAAACAUGCAUUUGAACAUCUGGCAUUUUCUCAUUUGCAACAGAGACAAU
Molecule: long non-coding RNA, 4079 nt
Organism: Crotalus tigris (Tiger rattlesnake)
Lineage: Eukaryota; Metazoa; Chordata; Lepidosauria; Squamata; Viperidae
Exons: 3
Source: RefSeq, a predicted model, not a curated record